Molecule: long non-coding RNA, 316 nt
Filed under: Elaeis guineensis (African oil palm)
Lineage: Eukaryota; Viridiplantae; Streptophyta; Magnoliopsida; Arecales; Arecaceae
Description: long non-coding RNA (EGUI_LNC068184)
Source: RNAcentral
UUACUUUACGAUGGCUUUUCAUUUUUUUCCUCCUUUAAAUUUGUACUUUGAAGGUACAGGUAGCCACAAAUCUUUUUCAUACUGAUUGUUCAUCAUGAUUUCUUAGAGCAAGAUGGAUUCAUAGCGCGUGAAGAGACUUGAGCAAAUUCUGGCUCGUAGGAGAGGUCGUGGUUUUGAUUGCUGAAAUGGGAUCUGUAGUUAAGAAAGAAGAACAUGCUACCCCUAUCAUUAAGCCCAUAGCCCUAUUAUUGGAAGUCGUGACAUAAGAUUCUCUAGAGAAAGUUUCGAUCGAUGGGAUGUCGACGAAGAUGGCACC